Molecule: ribosomal RNA, 581 nt
Filed under: Phaffomyces orbus
Lineage: Eukaryota; Fungi; Ascomycota; Saccharomycetes; Phaffomycetales; Phaffomycetaceae
Description: LSU rRNA
Rfam family: Eukaryotic large subunit ribosomal RNA
Source: RNAcentral
UCAGUAACGGCGAGUGAAGCGGCAAGAGCUCAAAUUUGAAAUCGGGGGCUCGUACCCCGAGUUGUAGUUUGAAGGGCGGUCUUUGUGGACCGGGUUUGCAGCGAUGUUCCUUGGAAGAGGACGCGAGACAAGGUGAUAGCCCUGUAGCGGCAAGCCCAUACACGUAUAAAGGCCGCCCGAAGAGUCGAGUUGUUUGGGAAUGCAGCUCUAAGUGGGUGGUAAACUCCAUCUAAAGCUAAAUACUAGCGAGAGACCGAUAGCGAACAAGUACAGUGAUGGAAAGAUGAAAAGAACUUUGAAAAGAGAGUGAAAGAGUGCGUGAAAUUGUUGAAAGGGAAGGAUAUUAGGUGAGGCGGGGACGUGGGGUUCUGCGGCGUUUCUUGUGGACGCUGUGAUAUGCCCAUGUCCAGGCCGGUGUGGGUGGGGCGAGGGGGAUGAAGAUGCCUUUUGGGGAGUCUUACUUCCAGAGACAGAAAGCACCCCUCGGGCCCACCAUGGACAGACGACACCGACACAAUGACCUAACAUCGCCCGUCUUGAAACACGGACCAAGGAGUCUAACGUCUAUGCGAGUGUGUGGA